UAAUGUGGGUAUCUGCCCUUUGGUUUGGAAUAACACGAGGAAACUUGUGCUAAUACCGGAUAAGCCUUCACAGGGAAAGCUUUAGCGCCAAAGGAUGAGCUCGCACUUGAUUAGCUAGUUGGUAGGGUAAUGGCCUACCAAGGCAACGAUCAAUAGCUGUUCUUAGAGGAAGACCAGCCACAUUGGGACUGAGACACGGCCCAAACUCCUACGGGAGGCAGCAGUGGGGAAUCUUGCACAAUGGGGGAAACCCUGAUGCAGCGAUGCCGCGUGAGUGAAGAAGGCCUUUGGGUUGUAAAGCUCUUUCGUCGGGGAAGAAAAUGACUGUACCCGAAUAAGAAGGUCCGGCUAACUUCGUGCCAGCAGCCGCGGUAAUACGAAGGGACCUAGCGUAGUUCGGAAUUACUGGGCUUAAAGAGCUCGUAGGUGGUUAAGAAAGUUGGUGGUGAAAUCCCAAGGCUUAACCCUUG
RNAcentral lists this ribosomal RNA (470 nucleotides) under uncultured Pelagibacterales bacterium. RNAcentral describes it as "bacterial SSU rRNA". It matches the Rfam family "Bacterial small subunit ribosomal RNA", at positions 113 to 617 of the family's 1533-position model. The record is from RNAcentral. Lineage: Bacteria; Pseudomonadati; Pseudomonadota; Alphaproteobacteria; Candidatus Pelagibacterales.